RNAcentral lists this ribosomal RNA (477 nucleotides) under uncultured bacterium. RNAcentral describes it as "bacterial SSU rRNA". It matches the Rfam family "Bacterial small subunit ribosomal RNA", at positions 55 to 541 of the family's 1533-position model. The record is from RNAcentral.
AUGCAAGUCGAGCGAAGCUUUUCAGUAGUUUACUACAGAAAAUGACUGAGCGGCGAACGGGUGAGUAACGCGUGAGCAAUCUACCUUAGUUACAGGGAUAGCCCGAGGAAACUCGGAUUAAUACCUGAUAUUCUUUACAUUUCGCAUGAAAUCAAAAGGAAAGGUCAGCCGAACUAAGAUGAGCUCGCGUUCUAUCAGCUAGUUGGUGAGGUAAAAGCUCACCAAGGCAACGACGGAUAGCUGGUCUGAGAGGACGAUCAGCCACACUGGGACUGAGACACGGCCCAGACUCCUACGGGAGGCUGCAGCAGGGAAUAUUGCGCAAUGAGCGAAAGCUUGACGCAGCGACACCGCGUGUGGGAUGACGGAUCUAGGUUUGUAAACCACUUUCAGGAGGGAAGAAAAUGACGGUACCUCCACAAGAAGCCCCGGCCAACUACGUGCCAGCAGCCGCGGUAAUACGUANGGGGCGAGCGU